Pteropus alecto (black flying fox) is the source of this 119-nucleotide non-coding RNA. The record is from Rfam. NCBI's taxonomy places the organism in Eukaryota, Metazoa, Chordata, Mammalia, Chiroptera, Pteropodidae.
GUCUAUGGCCAUGCUACCCUGAACAAGCCCGAUCCCGUCUGAUCUCAGAAGCUAAGCAGAGGUGGGCCUGGUUAGUACUUGGAUGGGAGAUCACCUAGGAAGACCAGGUGCUGUAGGCA